This 59-nucleotide small nucleolar RNA is filed under the name Euglena gracilis. Its description in RNAcentral is "q Eg-m110 box C/D methylation-guide". Lineage: Eukaryota; Euglenozoa; Euglenophyceae; Euglenales; Euglenaceae. The record is from RNAcentral.
CGCCUGAUGACCAUUUGCUUUUGAUUCCUGAUCAUUCCAAACCAAGAUCUGUUCUGAUG